AAAAAAUUAAAGGUCGAACAGACCUAGUAACAUAGCUACUGCACUAAUGCACUUAUUUUAAUCCAACAUCGAGGUCGCAAACUCCUUCACCGAUAUGAACUCUCAAAAGAAAUUACG
RNAcentral lists this ribosomal RNA (117 nucleotides) under Scutellera amethystina. RNAcentral's name for it is "partial 16S ribosomal RNA". Lineage: Eukaryota; Metazoa; Arthropoda; Insecta; Hemiptera; Scutelleridae. The record is from RNAcentral.